GUGAUGUUACAUUACUUUUACAUUAGAGGAGGAGAAUGAGAAGUACAUAUCUUUAUUUAUUCAUAUGGUCCUGAGGAAUUUAUCCCAGUUUGAAAGGAAGGUGUUGCGUAGUUGAAAUUCUUUUUUGAGGGAGUGAAUGUUACUGUUUUAUGUUGUUGGAAGUCUCAUGUCGACUAGAGAUAAUGUCAACUUAUAAUAUAUAAGUGGGGUGCAAACCUCAUCUUACAAGUCGGUUUUGUGGGGUUGAGCUCGACCCUACAAUCCUACAAAACCAGGUCUGUACCCUACUUAUAUAUUAUAAGUUGGCCUUAUCUCUAGUCGAUAUGGACUUCCAACACACCUCCUUCACGAGGUAUAGACAUCUCGUGCGUAAAAAUUGGAUGAUCCAAUACUAGCUCCACA
Molecule: long non-coding RNA, 402 nt
Filed under: Vigna radiata
Lineage: Eukaryota; Viridiplantae; Streptophyta; Magnoliopsida; Fabales; Fabaceae
Description: long non-coding RNA (VRAD_LNC001485)
Source: RNAcentral